UCCCUGAUGGUCUAGCAGCUAAGACUCCGCACUCUCUCUGUAAAGGGCCUGGGUUCAAUUCCUGGUCAGGGAA
This 73-nucleotide transfer RNA is filed under the name Bos taurus (domestic cattle). It matches the Rfam family "tRNA". From Rfam's summary of the family: Transfer RNA (tRNA) molecules are approximately 80 nucleotides in length. The record is from Rfam by way of RNAcentral. Lineage: Eukaryota; Metazoa; Chordata; Mammalia; Artiodactyla; Bovidae. RNAcentral also lists the same sequence under 1 other name.